This 47-nucleotide transfer RNA is filed under the name Canis lupus (wolf). Its description in RNAcentral is "partial tRNA-Lys". The record is from RNAcentral. Lineage: Eukaryota; Metazoa; Chordata; Mammalia; Carnivora; Canidae.
CAUUAAGAAGCUAUAAAGCAUUAACCUUUUAAGUUAAAGACUGGGAG